CCAAUAGCGUAUAUUAAAGUUGUUGCAGUUAAAAAGCUCGUAGUUGAAUUUCGGGAUUAGUACGCUGGUCGUGCCUUCGGUAUGUACUGGUGUUACUGGUUCCUACCUUCUGACGAACCGUCAUGUCAUUAAUUUGGUGUGGCGGGGAAUCAGGACUGUUACUUUGAAAAAAUUAGAGUGUUUAAAGCAGGCCCGCGCUUGAAUACAUUAGCAUGGAAUAAUGAAAGAGUACGUUCGAUCCUAUUUUGUUGGUUUCUAGGAUUGACGUAAUGAUUAAUAGGGAUAGUUGGGGGCAUUAGUAUUCAAUUGUCAGAGGUGAAAUUCUUGGAUUUAUUGAAGACUAACUACUGCGAAAGCAUUUGCCAAGGAUGUUUUCAUUAAUCAAGAACGAAAGUUAGGGGAUCGAAGACGAUCAGAUACUGUCGUAGUCUUAACCAUAAACUAUGCCGACUAGGGAUCGGAUGAUGUUAUUUUUAAUGACUCAUUCGGCGCCUUACG
RNAcentral lists this ribosomal RNA (498 nucleotides) under uncultured Glomeromycotina. Its description in RNAcentral is "partial small subunit ribosomal RNA". It matches the Rfam family "Eukaryotic small subunit ribosomal RNA", at positions 591 to 1092 of the family's 1831-position model. The record is from RNAcentral. Lineage: Eukaryota; Fungi; Glomeromycota.